GCCCGCCUAGCUCAAUCGGAUAGAGCGUCAGACUCUUAUCAUAGGCGGAUAUCUGAAGGCUGCGAGUUCGACCCUCGCGGUGGGCU
Non-coding RNA from Mycena rosella, 86 nucleotides. Lineage: Eukaryota; Fungi; Basidiomycota; Agaricomycetes; Agaricales; Mycenaceae. The record is from the annotation of a GenBank genome assembly.